UGGGGAAUAUUGGACAAUGGGCGAAAGCCUGAUCCAGCCAUGCCGCGUGUGUGAAGAAGGUCUUCGGAUUGUAAAGCACUUUAAGUUGGGAGGAAGGGCAGUAAGUUAAUACCUUGCUGUUUUGACGUUACCGACAGAAUAAGCACCGGCUAACUCUGUGCAG
Molecule: ribosomal RNA, 163 nt
Filed under: uncultured bacterium
Lineage: Bacteria
Description: partial 16S rRNA
Rfam family: Bacterial small subunit ribosomal RNA
Source: RNAcentral